This 356-nucleotide long non-coding RNA is filed under the name Junco hyemalis (dark-eyed junco). RNAcentral's name for it is "lncRNA (ENSJHYG00000017134.1)". The record is from RNAcentral. Lineage: Eukaryota; Metazoa; Chordata; Aves; Passeriformes; Passerellidae.
CUCAGCCUGGCCAAAAUCAAGCUUCAAAAGCAGACAGGAGGAGGAAGAAGCAGCACAGGGAGCCUGGAACCAGCUUUGGCUUGUGCUGGAAAGGAGGAAAGGAUGGAGGAGAACCCAAGCCCAGGGGAGGAGCAGGAAUUCAGGAUGGGCUCUGGCAAAUGUAGGACAAUCUCUGCUAUUCUUGGAAAUAUCAGGAUGACCAGCUUCUAUGUAAGAGUCUCAGAUUGUUGAUCCUUUUUGGAGAAAAGCCCCUGUAAAAAUAAUCUCAGAAAAUAUUUUAAAUAUUAAUAUUAUAAUUUAAAUAUUUCUAAUCUGGAGGAAUUUGUACCAGUGAGAAGGACUCCACUGAAAAAAAA